Molecule: ribosomal RNA, 465 nt
Filed under: uncultured bacterium
Lineage: Bacteria
Description: bacterial SSU rRNA
Rfam family: Bacterial small subunit ribosomal RNA
Source: RNAcentral
GUCCAGACUCCUACGGGAGGCAGCAGUGAGGAAUAUUGGUCAAUGGGAGAGAUCCUGAACCAGCCAAGCCGCGUGAGGGAAGACGGCCCUAUGGGUUGUAAACCUCUUUUGUCGGAGAACAAAACCCGGGACGUGUCCCGGACUGCGUGUAUCCGAAGAAAAAGCAUCGGCUAACUCCGUGCCAGCAGCCGCGGUAAUACGGAGGAUGCGAGCGUUAUCCGGAUUUAUUGGGUUUAAAGGGUGCGUAGGCGGACGCUUAAGUCAGCGGUAAAAUUGCGGGGCUCAACCUCGUCGAGCCGUUGAAACUGGGUGCCUUGAGUGGGCGAGAAGUAUGCGGAAUGCGUGGUGUAGCGGUGAAAUGCAUAGAUAUCACGCAGAACUCCGAUUGCGAAGGCAGCAUACCGGCGCGCAACUGACGCUCAUGCACGAAAGCGUGGGUAUCGAUCAGGAUUAGAUACCCUAGUA